AUCUAGCUGACGAGUCCUGAAUAAGACGAAAUGCGCGUUCUUCAU
Molecule: non-coding RNA, 45 nt
Filed under: Schistosoma mattheei
Lineage: Eukaryota; Metazoa; Platyhelminthes; Trematoda; Strigeidida; Schistosomatidae
Source: RNAcentral